This 247-nucleotide long non-coding RNA is filed under the name Lathyrus oleraceus (garden pea). RNAcentral describes it as "Pisum sativum (pea) long non-coding RNA (PSAT_LNC002307)". Lineage: Eukaryota; Viridiplantae; Streptophyta; Magnoliopsida; Fabales; Fabaceae. The record is from RNAcentral.
CCAAUUAAAAUAAGAUAAUUAUUUAACUUAAAUUAAUAUUUUAUUUAUUAAUUUAAUUGAAUAAUUGGAAUUUUGAUUAUUAUUAUUAUUAUUUUGGAAUAAUAAUUAUUGGAAUAAAUUGUAACACCCCAAUUAAAAUAAGAUAAUUAUUUAACUUAAAUUAAUAUUUUAUUUAUUAAUUUAAUUGAAUAAUUGGAAUUUUGAUUAUUAUUAUUAUUAUUUUGGAAUAAUAAUUAUUGGAAUAAUU